This 381-nucleotide long non-coding RNA is filed under the name Carica papaya (papaya). RNAcentral describes it as "long non-coding RNA (CPAP_LNC008174)". Lineage: Eukaryota; Viridiplantae; Streptophyta; Magnoliopsida; Brassicales; Caricaceae. The record is from RNAcentral.
UGAUAGUAUUUGUCCAACUGAUGCUUCCCCUUUACUUUUUCCAUUCCAGUGGAUUUUCUUCCGAUGCUUUCCCUUUACAUGUAUACAUUGGGAGUUAAAGGAAAAAGGAGAAAGGAAGAUGUAAAAGAGUGAAUGUGUAAUAGCCCCAGAAAUUAAAAGGAAAUGUAUAUAAUUCUAAGUGCGGAAGCGAAAUAAAAGAUUAUGGUUAACAUCCCUUAUACAAUAACCAAAACGUACUAAACAUUUAAAAGAAUGAGCUAACUAAAGGAAAUACUAUAAAUGAAUACUAUAAGGAAAACUAUAAAAUCUUUAGGUAUCUACUCGCCGUCUUCCUGCGGAACGGGCUCGGGAACCAAGUCUUCCUGAUCUAAAAUGGUUAAG